UACGAAGGGAGCUAGCGUUGUUCGGAAUCACUGGGCGCAAAGCGCACGUAGGCGGAUGUGUCAGUCAGGGGGUGAAAUCCCGGAGCUCAACUUCGGAACUGCCUUUGAUACAGCACGUCUUGAGUCCGGAAGAGGUGGGUGGAAUUCCUAGUGUAGAGGUGAAAUUCGUAGAUAUUAGGAAGAACACCGGUGGCGAAGGCGGCCCACUGGUCCGGUACUGACGCUGAGGUGCGAAAGCGUGGGGAGCAAACAGG
This 254-nucleotide ribosomal RNA is filed under the name uncultured bacterium. Its description in RNAcentral is "partial 16S ribosomal RNA". It matches the Rfam family "Bacterial small subunit ribosomal RNA", at positions 524 to 776 of the family's 1533-position model. The record is from RNAcentral.